CCUACGGGAGACUGCAGUAGGGAAUCUUGCACAAUGGGCGAAAGCCUGAUGGAGCAACGCCGCGUGCAGGAUGAAGGCCUUCGGGUUGUAAACUGCUUUUAUAAGCGAGAAAUAUGAUGGUAACUUAUGAAUAAGGAGCGGCUAACUACGUGCCAGCAGCCGCGGUCAUACGCAGGAGCCGAGCAUUAUCCGGAGUGACUGGGUGUAAAAAGUUGCGUAAGUGGUAUAAUAAGUAGCUAGUGGAAUCUGGUGGCUCAACCCUUCAGACUGUUAGCUAAACUGUUAGGCUCGAGCCCGUUAGAGGUAACUGGAAUUUCUAGUGUAGAGGUGAAAUCCGUAGAUAUUA
Molecule: ribosomal RNA, 346 nt
Filed under: uncultured bacterium
Lineage: Bacteria
Description: partial 16S ribosomal RNA
Rfam family: Bacterial small subunit ribosomal RNA
Source: RNAcentral